Non-coding RNA from Beta vulgaris subsp. vulgaris (sugar beet), 119 nucleotides. Lineage: Eukaryota; Viridiplantae; Streptophyta; Magnoliopsida; Caryophyllales; Amaranthaceae. The record is from Rfam.
GGCAGCGACCAUACUAACACUAAUGCAUAGUAUCCCAUCAGAACUUCGCAGUUAAGCGUGCUUGGGCGUGAGUAGUACAAGGACGGGUUACCUAUUAGGAAGUCCUCGUGUUGCUCCUC